Dermacentor silvarum is the source of this 597-nucleotide long non-coding RNA. RefSeq lists it as uncharacterized. The transcript has 5 exons. The record is from RefSeq and is a predicted model, not a curated record. Lineage: Eukaryota; Metazoa; Arthropoda; Arachnida; Ixodida; Ixodidae.
CUGGAGCUUCUUCUUUUGGUUUUAGCUCAAUCUCUGUGACCUCUGGUUUUUCCUUUUUCUUAACCACCUUCUUUUUCUUCUUUUCCUUAGGCUUUUCUUCAAUCUGCUCUUCUGGCUUCUCCUCAGGGGCUUCUUCAGGCUUCUCUUCUGGUUUCUCAAUGCUCUCAAGUUCAACUGGCUUUUCAAUCACUUGUGUAACAUCAAGCUGAGGUACUUCUUCUGAUGUAACCGUUAUAUCGAUUACUUCUUCAGGCUUGCGCAGCUUCUCAAUCGUGAUGUCAAACUCAGUGAUUUCUUCAACUUUCUCUUCAAUUUCUUUGAUUUCAGUCACUUCCUUAAUUUCCUCAGGGGCUUCUUCUUUUGGUUUCAGCUCAAUCUCUGUGACCUCUGGCUUUUCCUUUUUCUUAACCACCUUCUUUUUCUUCUUUUCCUUAGGCUUUUUUCAAUCUGUUCUUCUGGCUUCUCCUCAGGCACUUCUUCAGGCUUUUCUUCUGGUUUCUCAAUGCUCUCGAGUUCAAUUGGCUUUUCAAUCACUUGUGUGACUUCAAGCUGAGGUACUUCUUCUGAUGUAACCGUUAUAUCGAUUACUUCUUCAGG